Molecule: long non-coding RNA, 228 nt
Filed under: Carica papaya (papaya)
Lineage: Eukaryota; Viridiplantae; Streptophyta; Magnoliopsida; Brassicales; Caricaceae
Description: long non-coding RNA (CPAP_LNC003736)
Source: RNAcentral
GGAAAAUAAUGAUAUGCAGAAAAUUGAAGAAGACUUAAAAAACAAGAAAUAGACCACGCUUGUAGUUGUAACAAGAGUGCUCGCCUGGUUACACUCUAGAAUAUAGCAAAAGAAAAGAUCAAGAAGAAUAAGAAGAACAAGAAAAAGAACAAUAAGUUGUAGUAAUAGUAGCAUCAGUAUUAGCAACAGUAGCACUAAUAGCAGCAAUAGCAAUAUUAACAGUAAUAG